CAGUAGCCACGGGAAAACGUAGGGUGCAAGCGUUAAUCGGAAUUACUGGGCGUAAAGCGUGCGUAGGCGGUUUGUUAAGUCUGCUGUGAAAUCCCCGGGCUCAACCUGGGAAUGGCAGUGGAUACUGGCAAGCUAGGGUGUGUCAGAGGAUGGUGGAAUUCCCGGUGUAGCGGUGAAAUGCGUAGAGAUCGGGAGGAACAUCAGUGGCGAAGGCGGCCAUCUGGGACAACACUGACGCUGAGGCACGAAAGCGUGGGGAGCAAACAGGAUUAGAUACCCCGGUAGUCCCUGUCUCUUAUAC
This 301-nucleotide ribosomal RNA is filed under the name uncultured bacterium. RNAcentral describes it as "partial 16S ribosomal RNA". It matches the Rfam family "Bacterial small subunit ribosomal RNA", at positions 509 to 807 of the family's 1533-position model. The record is from RNAcentral.